GGGGUUUGUCUCGUUCAGGUCCUGCUGGUUGGUCCUCGUUUUCCCGGUGGCCUCGUUGGUGUUCGUUUUCCCAGUGCUCGUGUUUCUGGCUCGUUUUCCUCGUUGGUGUUUUCCUGCUUUUUCCCUGGUACCAGCAAGCGUGUCUCCCUUGCCCUGUUCUGGGCCUGCGCUUUGCGCAGGCGCAGAACAGGGCAGGGAGGCACAGACACACGCUUGGUGUCCGUCCACGGACGGACACCAAGCAUUUUAUUAGAGAGGAUAGUAUUGAAAGCCGUCAAGAGAUCCAAAAAGUCCAACAGUCACACUCCCUCUGUCAACUCCCAAUUGGAGAUCAUCCAUCAGGGCGACCAAGGCAGUCUCCACCCCAUAGCCCGCCCAAAAGCCAGAUUGAAAUGGGUUUAUGUAAUCAGUUUCCUCCAAGACUGCCUAAAGCUGGGAGGCCACCCCUAUCUCAAUGACCUUGCCAGCAACAGAAGGCUUGAGACAGGCCUGUAAGUUGCUCAACUCUGAGGGAUUGAACACAGGCUUCUUCAGAAGUGGUCUAAUAAUUGCCUCGUUAAGGCAAGGAGGCAUCCUGCCCAACCUCAGAGAAACAUUUAUGAUCUCUACUAGGCCUUCUACAACACCCUCCCUGCCUGACAGUAUAAGCCAACUAGGGCAAGGGUAAAGAGAACAGGCGGUAGGCCGCACCAUUCCAAGCAGCGUGUCCACAUCCUUAUGAGUCACAAACUGGAACUGAUCCAGCCUAGCCAAACAAGAGGAGCUGCUGGACACCUCCUCCUUUAAUUACAAGUUAAAUGCCAACUUUAAAAAUUCCUUUCCACAGACAUCGGACUACAGAAUUCCCUUCCUCUAUUGGGGAGAUAUACCUAUAUAUCUCCGGGACAGGUGUAUAUCCCCCCUUUCUUCCCCAAGACAUAACAACAAGAAGAGGUUGCAGUGGCUUGGCAGCUGUUUUACUAUUCCCCCCACUUACUUCAGCUAGUCAGUGGCAGUGCAAGGAGGAAUUCAGCCUGCAUGGUACCAUGGAAUGUUGCGAUGAAGUGGGAAGAGAAGAGUUGCCCAUGGAAAUCAAAGCUUUGGGAGAGAACAGGAGCUGUUUGGGACAUGUAAAAAGAUGGCUUCAAGCUGCCCUGAAUCUGGGAUUGUGAUGGAGAGAGAAACUGCUCCCAUGUGGGAGCUGGAAUUGUAUGUUUAUCCACUGGAGGAUUGAAUGGCAGACGUGUCCAUGUGGUUUGGAUGGCUGGGGGCUUAUGGAAGAAAAUUUGAGAGGAAGACAAUGGACAUUCAGACGGGAGGAAAAAUCAGCCCCAAAUGAUUCAACCAGUGGCAUAGCUAUAUUGUUAUAACAAUGAUGUAAAAUUAUACUGUGCAAGAGCAUAAAUAUUUCAUCAGUUUAUCAUGCUUAUACAGUUCUCAGCUACUAUUCAAAGGUUUUCUUUAUUUGGAAAUAAUAAGCAAAGUUUAGUUCAAACAUUAGAUACAUAUUUGUUUCCCUCCCCACCAUCACAAAAGGCUGUAGAUUUGUUCAACUGAUAGAAGAGCUCCUGGAAUCGUAGUCCACAUUGUACAUGUAUUAAUUCAUUUCUUACAGUGAAUGCAGCCCACUCUGCUGCUGAUAAUUUUCAUAAAACUGCUGUAGAGAAUCUGGAAUUCGAGGGGUUAUGAUAGACAAGGCUUGCUGAAAAUGUCGCCUCAUAAUGCAUGUGGCCUGUAUAUCUUCCUGAAGGGCCAGAAGGGCAGCUUCUCUACAAACUGCAGUAAUCUAAAAAGAAAAGAAAAAGAAAAAGAAAUUCAAUAUUUUAAAGUAACGAUAGAAUGUGUACAAUUGGAACGCUUUAGGUCAAUGUUUGUAGAUAGUGUAGUCACAGUAUGUAACAGAAGUCAAAUUAUCUCAGUUUUCUUGAGCAUCAGUGGAAACAGCUGUAAAAAUGGAACACCAGCUCAAACUGCAGCAAAAUUCAUCCACACAUGUGGCACUUUUGAAUUCUGGUGUUUGAUAUUGGAACACCAUAUACAGUCUUCCUAUAUAAUUAAAACUCUUUAUGGCAGAUGUUCACUGAAGAAACCUACCUACCGAUGGCAGAUAAUCCAGUAGCUGUUCCAGGAACAAGAGAGAGAUGAUCAAAUCCUCUUGGUGGUUUUCCUUUACUUUUUUUGUUUUUUAAAGUAAAAGCAAAUAAUUCAAAGACAAAGCAGGAAGAAAGAAAUGUGCAGAAAGAGAAGAGGGCUAAUAUCUCAAAGUCUGAGAUAUGUGUUUAACUCUCUGGACUUCAGACAGCGGAAACAACCUCAUGAAGACACAUUAUGGUGGUGAAAAGAGCUUGAUGAAUGAACAGGGAAACUACGAUUUUCAGUAUGGCGGAGGCACAGCUGCCAUCAAGCGGUGGAGGUGCAUCAUUAUGGAAUACAAGUGGAAGAGGAAGAGACAAUCAGGCCCUGUCCCUGCAAGAUCUUCAGCUCUUUGGCAGGAAAACCAGUUCAGCCAACUGCACUCCCUCCAGGCCAAGGCCAGUAUAUUUUGUGUGUGCAUGUGUGAGAGGUACAUGUGCAUGUGUGAAAUGGAAUAUUGUGUGUGGCUCAGUCUAGAUCUAGCCAAGAAGGCUAGAAGGUGUUUGUGUUUCAUGCAUGAUAAAUUCCUUUACCAUAUAUUGGUUGGCAGAAUGUCAUCUGAGUCACUAGUGAUUACUCUGCAUGUGUUUUUGAGGUCCCCACCACCUGUGCAUUCAGUGAUUGUCCUUGAGACUAUUCAGUCACAUUAUGCAUCAAUAAAGGUUGUUUUCUACACAAUGCUUGCUUAAUUCCUUAACAAUAUGCUGUGCAUAUGUGUAUUAUACAUGUGACUUGGCAUGUAAUUUGCAGCUGGGCUCGACUGCUUGAGCUAUCUAACUGCUUGUGCACUUUUAGUUCUGAAUUUCUGCUUGUGACACAGUAGUAGCCUGGAUGGUUAGUUGUUCUGUGCAGACUUGAUAUUAUGUAUGGAUGUUUUGAUUGGUAGCAGGGGAUUUGGUAAUCACAUGCAGUACAGUAGCUGUACACCUUAGGUGAACUGAACAUUUUCUUUGGGCUCUACCCUAUGAUCAUAGAGUUCCAUCCUUUGGUAAGAUGCUUAUUUCUGCUGCUGGGCCCCCUUUAGGUACCAGAAUUAUUUAUUCUAUAAUGAAUAAUAUGUUGGCAAUAUGUAGGGUUAUGAACUCUUGAAAUAAAGGGUCAGUCUUCCUCCGAAUGGAGAUAUUUGCCUUAGAUUACUAGAUGUAAACAUUAUAAAAUAUUGAUUUAUUAGCAAUCUUCUUUUUGAGCCUCUGUGGCAUAUUUGGCCAUCCUUCACAGCUUCUUUGCAACACCUUGAACUGGAAACACUUGAGCCUUAUUCAGACACAGUGUUUUACAUGUGCACAGAUGUCUGUACAGGUGUAUAUUUUUGUAUGAAUGGCUGUACAUGUGUUAACUUCAAAAGUGAAUCUGGGUACAUGGCCCCUCAAAUGCAGGCUACAGGUAGGAAGUGCACAUGCAUUGAACAUGAUGUAUGAAUAACUGUAUGUGCGUACUGAUUUGUACAUGUGUAUACUGUACACAGAUUGUACAUUCAUUGGACAUAGCACGCGACCAGGAUGUUGUAGUCUACCAUUUCAACAGGAUCAGCAAACCCAAGCAAAACCACCAUGAGACCAUGAGAUAAAAGUAUAUCUAUUCUUUUAGAAUAGUUUUUAUUUUUCAGAACUAAUGUUUUAGACAAUCAGUGGGGAAAAAUGUACUGUUUACUUUAGUGAGACACAGAGAAUACCCUAGUUGUUUUGACUUCAAAUUCCUCUGAUUAGUCACUGGUAAAAGAAAGAAUAUACUGGGUAUGUAUUCUUGGGUUAGAAUGCAGACCAAUAUAUUAAUAUCCAGCAAGCAUUCUAGCAGGAAAAAACUAAAACAAAAAUAAAAAUGGUGUCAAUCAGCUGUAGCUUCCUGGAUAAACACUCUUAGGAUAAACUAUUUUACCCUAGAAACCACAGAGGCUGAUAACCUGAGAAUUCAUCUGCCAGGAUGAAUCAGAUGGGAUGAAUGGCUGAUUCAGCUUGCUUGUGUCAGGUCCAUUGUGGUUUGAAGCACUAACUUUCUUCCAAAGGGCUGAAAGUCCUUUUCAGCUUUUUUGUUUUUGAAGUGCUCCAAACAAGCUUUAAAGAACCUUGUUGGGGGUGGGGGUCGGUUGGUGGAGGGGAGAAGAAAUGAGCUUCUGUGUUAAAGUCUUAGGUAUUUUCAAGAAAGUGGCUUACUUAAAAAUGCAUCGUCUGCCGGGAACACCUGUGAACUAUUGAGUUUAAUUGGGCUGCAGCUGGUGCCGAUUGUGUGUGAAGCAACUGGCAGUCUGAUAGGCUGGUCUUUUACAUUGUGUUUCCUUUCCCUUUCCCUUUCUUUCAAGUGUGCUUCCCCCCUGUAGAUGGUUACAAGGGGCUGUGUGAGAAAGGGAUUAGGAACCUGAAGCAGACUGGCAUCCUGUGGUGGUUUGUGAAUAGCGCAAAUUGUGGAGCUUCCCGGAUGAAGGCUACCUGCAAGAGUACAUGCGAGCUGGCUGUGUGUGUGCCUCCUAGGCACCUCUAAGAGGAGGAUUAGAGAGCAGGAACACUGGCUUUCCCACUCAGCAUGCACAGCAGUGAAAAGGCUUCAAAAUUAGGCCUUUAAAAAAUUAUGAAAAUCCCAAGGAUCACAUCUAAAAGGUUAAUUUAUAAAGGCUGCCAGCUACCUCUUGCCAGCUUCUCCUACUUAUUACCACAUUUCUGCUAAGCUAUGAACUCAUACUGUGCUGCCUGGAGCAAGUUUCUCUCUCUUGCUCUCUUAUCCUCAGUUCUCCAUCUGUGAAGUGGGAAGAAGAGAUCUACAUCACAGAUUUGUAUGAUGGGCACAAGCAUCAUGUACCUUAUAAACUGUAAGACUCCAAGAAUACAAUUUUAUAUGAAACAGUGGGGAGAUACUGAUGUCAAAAGCCCUACUGGUUGAAGAGAGAAAAGAAGACUGGCCCAUGUGUUCCAUAGCAUUAGGAGGGCAGAGCAAGAGCUGUACCCUCACGCAGUCCUCAGGACAUAUUUCUGGAAGCACUUUUGGAGGGAAGGGAGAGCAGUGAAAACCGCUUCCCUUCCCCCUCUGUCAAACCUUUGGCUGAGCUCCACAGCAACAUCUCCACAAGGUCCUAGCUCUUGCUCCACUUUCCUAAUGCUACAGAAUGUGGGCUAUUACAUGGGGCACGGCAGGAAUGAGUGUACUCCAAAAUUCCAAGAAUUUCAUCCGAAGCAUUAAAUACUUAAAAUAUGGAAAUUCUCAACAAAAUAGGAACAACUUGCACCCCAGAGCCACAACUGAAGGGGGAAUGUGACUUGGGUAACAUUGUCAUAUGAAUGUAAGUUUAAAAGUCAAAUAUGUUUACAAUCUUUAAAAACAUCACAAGUAUUUUAUUAAAAUUAGGUUUGCUUUUGCCUA
Long non-coding RNA from Hemicordylus capensis (graceful crag lizard), 5460 nucleotides. RefSeq lists it as uncharacterized. The record is from RefSeq and is a predicted model, not a curated record. Lineage: Eukaryota; Metazoa; Chordata; Lepidosauria; Squamata; Cordylidae. The transcript is spliced from 4 exons.